CGACGUGGGUAACCUGCCUCAUACAGGGGGAUAACAGUUAGAAAUGGCUGCUAAUACCGCAUAAGCGCACAGUACUGCAUGGUACAGUGUGAAAAACUCUGGUGGUAUGAGAUGGACCCGCGUCUGAUUAGCUAGUUGGUGAGGUAAGGGCUCACCAAGGCAACGAUCAGUAGCCGACCUGAGAGGGUGAACGGCCACAUUGGGACUGAGACACGGCCCAAACUCCUACGGAAGGCAGCAG
RNAcentral lists this ribosomal RNA (241 nucleotides) under uncultured bacterium. Its description in RNAcentral is "partial 16S ribosomal RNA". It matches the Rfam family "Bacterial small subunit ribosomal RNA", at positions 113 to 354 of the family's 1533-position model. The record is from RNAcentral.